This 109-nucleotide ribosomal RNA is filed under the name Salmo salar (Atlantic salmon). The record is from RNAcentral. Lineage: Eukaryota; Metazoa; Chordata; Actinopteri; Salmoniformes; Salmonidae.
GCUUACGGCCAUACCAGCCUGGGUACGUCAGAUCUCGGAAGCUAAGCAGGGUCGGGCCUGGUUAGUACUUGGAUGGGAGACCGCCUGGGAAUACCAGGUGCUGUAAGCA